RNAcentral lists this ribosomal RNA (253 nucleotides) under uncultured bacterium. RNAcentral's name for it is "partial 16S ribosomal RNA". It matches the Rfam family "Bacterial small subunit ribosomal RNA", at positions 524 to 776 of the family's 1533-position model. The record is from RNAcentral.
UACAGAGGGGGCAAGCGUUAUUCGGAAUUAUUGGGCGUAAAGGGCGCGUAGGCGGCUUGGCAAGUGGAAGGUGAAAUCCCUCGGCUUAACCGAGGAACUGCCCUCCAAACUGCUUCGCUUGAGACCGGGAGAGGUGAGUGGAAUUCCCAGUGUAGCGGUGAAAUGCGUAGAUAUUGGGAGGAACACCAGAGGCGAAGGCGGCUCACUGGACCGGUACUGACGCUGAUGCGCGAAAGCGUGGGGAGCAAACGGG